RNAcentral lists this long non-coding RNA (997 nucleotides) under Homo sapiens (human). RNAcentral describes it as "non-protein coding lnc-TUBGCP6-5:7". Lineage: Eukaryota; Metazoa; Chordata; Mammalia; Primates; Hominidae. The record is from RNAcentral.
GUCACGGGGCGCGCGCUGAUGCGAACGGGGUGACAGAUGGGAACGCCUCCGAGACCGCCAGCGACGACCCCGCUCGGGCAGCCCCGGAUUUCCUCGGCUGCACCGGCGCCGGCAGCGGGGACCGAGGCCCGCGUCCGUUCGGGUCGGGCCGGGGCUUAGCCCCGCGCCCCACGGGCGGCCGGGACCCCACCCGGACCCCGCCGCGGUUCUGGGCCGCCGGAGCCUCGCGCCGCCUCUCGGGGACCUUGUCCCCUGGCCUCCGGCCUCUCGGGCCCCUCGCCUGCCGUCUAGGAGGGAAGGGGCCUUGGAUCUGUGCCCCGCCCAUGGAACAGCGCCCGGGCUCGGAGAGGCCCCGCGAGGCCGCAGGCGCAGACCCUCCCGGAGGGCUGGGCGGGCACCGGGGUCUUCGGCUGGCUUGAGGGACCCGACCCCUGGGGGAGGAAUUUGGGGUCUGUGUGUCCGAAUGAACGCGGGGGUUCAGAUGAGUCUGUGGUGCCCCCGCUUUCCAUCUCCUCCGGCCCCGGCCCCAGAGGACUGUCUGAGAGGCCGGUGGCCGCGGAUCCUGGACGCGCCUCCCUCCUGCCUGUGGUUUCCCUUUAUUCCGGCAGCGGCGCGAGCCCACCCUUCACAUACAGGAGCUACAUCCAGAAGCUUCUCCUGGGGCCACAGCGUGGGCUUCCGAGACUCUGCGUGACCCCAGCUCUGCCCCUUUGGGGCUGCGGGUGAAGCCCUCAGGACCCUCCGCGUGCGUUGGGCAGGUGCACACAUUGUCUGCCCAGAGAGGGCCAAGAUGCCCCAGGCACCCCUUCGCUCCGGGGGCUCAGGACACAGGCUCCCAGCUGAGGCCACGCCUGGACCCAGAGCUGAUGUUUGGCUGCACGCGAGCCCACUCGGGACAGACCCAAGAACACGAAUUCUCUCCCUUUGGAUUUAAGGCUGGUGUUUUUUGACAUUUACUUCAGUUUUUCUCUCUGAAAUUAAAAUUACCUGAGUAAAA